UCCUACGGGAGGCAGCAGUGGGGAAUAUUGGACAAUGGACCAAGAGUCUGAUCCAGCAAUUCUGUGUGCACGAUGAAGUUUUUCGGAAUGUAAAGUGCUUUCAGUUGGGAAGAAGAAAGUGACGGUACCAACAGAAGAAGCGACGGCUAAAUACGUGCCAGCAGCCGCGGUAAUACGUAUGUCGCAAGCGUUAUCCGGAUUUAUUGGGCGUAAGGCGCGUCUAGGUGGUUGCAUAAGUCUGAUGUGAAAAUGCGGGGCUCAACUCCGUAUUGCGUUGGAAACUGUGCGACUAGAGUACUGGAGAGGUAAGCGGAACUACAAGUGUAGAGGUGAAAUUCGUAGAUAUUUGUAGGAAUGCCGAUGGGGAGGCCAGCCUACUGGACAGAUACUGACGCUAAAGCGCGAAAGCGUGGGUAGCAAACAGGAUUAGAUACCCUGGUAGUCC
Molecule: ribosomal RNA, 445 nt
Filed under: uncultured bacterium
Lineage: Bacteria
Description: bacterial SSU rRNA
Rfam family: Bacterial small subunit ribosomal RNA
Source: RNAcentral